AGAGAGAGAGAGAGAGAGGGAGAAAAGAGGGAAAACAAGGGGAGGUUAGAAAAAGAACCAGGAGGAAGGAAGGGGGAGGUGAGCAGGCUUGAGCAGGAGAGAGAGGGAAAGAGAGAGAGGGGGAAAGAGAGAGAGAAAGAUUGAGUGAAGUUGCAAAAGUAAGAAAGUAAGAAAGUGCAAACAAACUGAAAAGUCAGAAGCCAGAGAGAAACAGUAUGUGAAAAAGGAAAGAGGGAAGGUAGAGAGAAAAAAAGAGAGUAAGAAAAGGAGGAGUGCAAGAAAGAGAAACUACGCAGAUGAGAAAAACAGCCUUAGUGAAUGGCCCGGGUGGGGAGGAGAGAGAGGGGAGGAAACCAGUUGUUUUGUAAGUCGUCGGCCUGGGCGGCUUCUGGACUCCUGCUGGUAUGCAUUCGGGAAAGGCGGCAACAGGACAACGCGUCCUCCAUCCAGCCCAGGACUACUGCCGCCUCUGCUCGCUCCAGGGACCAGCCCUCUCCCAUGGGCAAGAGCCCAUGGAUGGGCCAUGCCUGUCUCCAGCGGACAGUCUAAGCCCUGUCCAGUGGCGGGACUUGGGGGACUUGCCUGUGCCCUUUCCUCCAGAGGUCCGAAUGCCGGAGGACAGCAUGGGGUACCCUGACCUUUGCAUACCUCAGAGAAGGCACUUUUACCUGGGACCAAGCCACUACCAUGUGCCUGAGAGCUGUAGUAGCCCUCCUUGCUACUCGUGGAGGGAGGUAAGAGCUUGCAGAUGGGACUGGCCAGUGGACCCCAGGCUUGCUCCAUGCGCGUGCAUCUGGGAACGACACAGGGACUGCGGUUGCUCAAGGCAAUGGUAUCCUCCAGAGUUGCCACCGCACCCCUUCAACGGCAGCGCCGUCUCGCAGCUCCUGCCAACUAAGGUCAGGGGUCAGCGGUACUACACAGAGGCCCGAUAUGUGUCGGAGGAGCAUUACUGGGACUGUGUAAGUGAGAACUAUCACAGAGGCGUACAUUCCCAAGAACCUGACUUUGACAACCUGGACGCACCUGCUUACAAUGGACAUUGUGAAAGAAGACAUGUCAGAUUUCAGGGACACGAUGACGAAAUCAGUUGCGACAGCCAGGACACUGAUGGGGCAACCAGUCCCGCAAAGACGCAUUGUAAUGGGUCCCCAGCCUUCUUUUCCACAGAGGUGCCCCAAAGCAAGUUCAGGAGCUCCAGGACAUCGGCUCCCAGGCCGUCAGCGAGCAGACCCUGGGGAGAAGAAGAGGCAGAGAUGGGUCAAAAAGGGAGGCUGGGGGAUGGUGGAGAUGAGGACAGCAGGAGGAAACAGAGGAAAAGCCAAGGAACCGUGCGGGAGCAGAUCAAACAAGUGGUCACGGAGUUGGAAGACGUACUUGGGGGUCUAAAGCAGGUCCAGUUGGAGAUGAAAGAGGUGGUCCAACAGAUUGACAUCCUGACCUCCAACAUAGACCUGGGUGGUGAGGAGCAGAGGCCAUGCAACGGUCCGCUGCAGGAUCCCAGACACCAGGGCAACCGCUUUGGAGUGGUGGCACUCGUACAUAACUCAAACGGAGAUAUGAUGGAAUCAACGACAAGAGACAAGAGCUCUCGGCCAGGUCAGGUCAAGUCGCGGACUGCGCAUUCCUCGUCGGACCACAGCAUAGCUUCUGUGGCCGCGAUGGCUGCUUCUCAUGCCAACAGCCGCACCGCCACAAAGAACCACACAAACCCGUCGUCUCCUGCCCACACUACAUUUGCUGUUGAGUCUGCCGGCUGCAGAGGAAUGAAUCACACGUCUGCAACAGAAUCGCAGAGGACUAAGAGUUCCGCCAAUGGAGACUGCCUGCGAGCCAGACCUCCCAGAGUCAGAGUCAAAGAUCUCCAGAACCAAAGAUCUAGACUGGAUUACGUGCUCCCCUCAAAGCUUAGCUCUAUUCCUGAACCCUCAUUUCCUCUGACACCCAUUGGCCUCUCAAAGACCCAGAAACCCCCACCGUACCCCCAGAAUGGACAAGCCAAAAUGCCCAAUCAGGAUGUAAGCCAUUCUUCAAACGGGCUCAAGACACCUCCGAACUGUGGAAAACAAAAACAGCUAACGUCCACCAUGGUGUAAAUAGAGGGACGGGGUGAGACAGGGGUCCCGCUGCCUCAGAGCUCUGUCUGUCUGUCAGUCUGUCUGCAGUCCUGAGGACAGCACACACCCACACAUACCCAUAAACAACCUCAACCAGAUUUUUUUUCCCAAGCGUCCACGCGAUUAGGUAACUCAGGGUGAGUGGACAAUGAGUGUCCUCAUAUACAGAGGAUUGCUCAUCAUGAAUGCUUUUUUGAGUGUUUGUGUUUAUUGUUGCUUUGUGCUUGACUGUGCGAAGGCUUUUACUUUCACAUACAUUACAUAUACCGAUUAAACAAAAACAUUUAUGACCACCUUUUUUUGUUUCUACAUCCUUUAUCCAUUUACAGCUCCACUAUAGAAGCAUAUAGGAGCUUAUCAUAUGGACAGAGAGUGCAGAAACAAAAGAAUGGUCAAGAAUGGUCAUAAUGUUAUGCUUGAUCGGUGUACACAAUAUGCUUGUGGACACCUCUUAAAGAGAUGUCAUUCGGUUCGUUUUGUUUUGGUUGCAACCAUAGUUGUAACUGCACACAUAUAGCUUGUCUAGUCUUGUCUAGUCUUUGUAAAGCGAAGUAUUGCCAACAUGGCUAUGAAGAGGUAUAAACGCCCCCCUGGGAUCAAGCUAUUUAAGAACUGUGUUCCUCAAGAAUGAUGGUGCUCCAUCUAAUAUUUUGGUGGAAUAAUGAGUUGGGGAGUUGGGAGUGAUGUGCUUAAUGCAAUCAGAUCCCCUCAGCAAUCCUCUGAAAUCAAGUAGAAAGUCUUUCCUAGACAAUACCUAGAUAAUAUGCAUGUGUGGAGCUUGUAUGGGUAGCCAAAUUUGGUCCCAGAAAGCCCCACAUAUGUAUGUCAAUGAUGGGAACAGGAGGGGUUAAACAUGACUUAAGAGUUCACCAAUAUAAUCCACAGCGGAAUUGGUGGAAUAAUCACAGUUUUCAUGCAUCUUAAUUGUUCUCCUCCACCAGCCUUACACACUGCUUUUGGAUAACUUUAUGCCUUUACU
This 3096-nucleotide long non-coding RNA is filed under the name Astyanax mexicanus (Mexican tetra). RNAcentral's name for it is "lncRNA (ENSAMXG00005006942.1)". The record is from RNAcentral. Lineage: Eukaryota; Metazoa; Chordata; Actinopteri; Characiformes; Acestrorhamphidae.